UUUUAGCGAUUAUAACUAGGUCAGUCUUCUACAUUUAGAAACAGUCACAUAAGACUACCGGUAAAGUAAAAGCCUUUCGCAUUAUAUGUUAUAUCAUAACAAACUAGAUUUUACAAAAAAAACUUGUUUUUAACAUAAGUGCCAUUAAACCUUUCUCUUUUGUUCCAUCGCACUUUAGCGUACUAUACCAUCGCACUUUAGCAAAC
RNAcentral lists this long non-coding RNA (206 nucleotides) under Mytilus galloprovincialis (Mediterranean mussel). The record is from RNAcentral. Lineage: Eukaryota; Metazoa; Mollusca; Bivalvia; Mytilida; Mytilidae.